ACCUUAUCAGAGUGUGUGGCCAUUGGCAGUUCUCUCGGGAUCUGCUGUGUCAGCUAUCUGCACAGAGCCGGGGCAGCGCACAGAGGGAACACACACAUGUAACCGACUGUUAUCAUCAUUGAAUAGAGCAGAGCACUACACCAGUGAUGUCUGACAACACUGGUGACCCCAACGGCUGAUCUGGGUUAAGAAGCUCAGUAAACCUAGCUGACACCUGACCAGAGGACCAAUAGGGAGACAAGAUACUUUCAAAUCUUGGUGGAGGGAAGUCUUUGUUUGUGUUCAUGCAGGUCCCCACUUUUGUACUCUAAGGUUCAAAGUGGGGAAAGAAACCUUGACAGUUGCCAAGCACUCUGCUUCUAAUCUUAACCACUCACUAAUAUUUGAAACAUGGGCUUUUCUUAUUUCCAUAUACCACAGUUUUAAAAUAACAUUAAAUACAAAGUAAUGCAAAAUUCCUUGUUACGAAAUUAAUACAAUACAUUUGGCAAAUAUUAAUAUAUUUUAUCAAUUUUUGUUAAAAGUUUUAAAUAAGGUAAUAACUUAUUUAUUCAAAUGUUUAAUCCUUUUUAUUUUUGUUUGCCUUAUUUGGUAUACUUAUGAAUAUAAUUCUGGCGCCAUUUGUUUUUAAUUGGGAGUUUGUCCUGUAUGUCAUGUGUGUUGUCCUAUGUUGUAUGUUGUGUGUGUCAUGUGACUAUUUUUUAUAAUUUUUAUUUUGUUGCAACAAAAGUCAAUUUUAUACCCUUUUAAAAAUGUAUGUAUAUGUGGUACCACACUAUCUUAAGAUCAUGGAUGGGGUAUAAUCAUAAUAUUACUAACACCAAUUUUUUUGUGCAAAGUUCAAAACGGUUUCAGUUACAAAUAUGUGUACAUAUAUUUCUGUCUCAACAAAUAAUGCAAUUGCAAACAAAAAUAAUUCUCUUUUAUUAGUCAUGGUUUGGUUUUGUUUUUUAAGUUUUUUUAUUUGUUAUUCAAAGGAAAAUUGUCAGGGGAAACCUCAACAUUAAGGUAAAGAUAAUAUGAACAAAAUGUAAAUUUCUUGUUUGGGUUUUUAUAAACUUGUUUGCACUUUUAUAUAUAGUUAAAAGAAUGUGAUAGCAAAAAUGUUUAAAAAUAUCAAUUUAGGCAUAAAGCUAACCGAACAAUUUCAACAGGUUUCCACAUUUUCAAUAGGUUUUCACCUUUGGCUCCUAAACAGAACAAAGCGUCAUGAAAGUUUAAUACUGUCAAAAUAUUUGCAUGGACCUGUAUUUAAAAUUUAUUUUGGUUUAAUUUUAUAGUUGGUUUAAUUUUAUACAUUUUUCUUUUAUUAUGUUAUGUUAAUGGGAAGCAGUGGUUGUUAAAGUUUGUGCUUCUAAACAGUUAACAAGAGUGAAAUUGGUAUCACAAGCAAAUUAACGCUAAAAAGCUUGGUAAAAAUUAUGCUAUUGAUUCUUUUGCUAAAACAGAAUGUUCAUCAGGAAAAAAAAGCAAUACGCCUUCGCACAGAAGAUUGUGAGCAUUUAUUUUAGCAAUUAAGCAUUACAUUUAGUAUAAAAUAUUAGUAAUGCACAUCAAAUAAAAAUGAAUGUCUAUGCAAUAAUUGCAAAAGUAUAGCUUGUGUUCUAAAAGACUUGGUCCCUAUUACAUUGUCCCUAUUACAUUGUAAACAAACUUAGUUAAAUUUUGUAUUGAGUUUGAGUUACUGAAAACAAAAACAAAAAAGGAAAACAAACAAAAACUUUACUUUGUUAACUAACAAAAGUUGUUUAAGUUGCAUCCCACAGACCAAAGACACCAGAAAAUAUCAGAAUACAGUGAAGAAACCCCCAAGCAUCAAGAAAAGAACAAUGAAGUGCUUUAUAAACAAGAGGUUGGUCAAAUACACCUCUAUCUACCAUAUAUGAACAAUUAAGUGAACAAUCAGCUAAAAACCACUAGCUGUAGCAGGAUAAACUGUCAUUUAAUUUCAACUUGGUUACUGUGUAAAAACAACUGUAUUAUUGCCGUACUACUGCAGUGGUAAAUCCCGCCACUGACUGAGCCUGUCCAUCGUUAGGGAGCACAUACGUACUAGCAGAACUCAGAACUGUAGAUAUCUGAUCCGGGGAGCUAGAGGCUGUGUUUCAUUUGGGAAUAAACCUAGGUGAGUGCCUUCGUACCUUA
Molecule: long non-coding RNA, 2145 nt
Organism: Gopherus flavomarginatus (Mexican gopher tortoise)
Lineage: Eukaryota; Metazoa; Chordata; Testudines; Testudinidae
Exons: 2
Source: RefSeq, a predicted model, not a curated record